RNAcentral lists this ribosomal RNA (833 nucleotides) under uncultured Alteromonas sp. RNAcentral's name for it is "bacterial SSU rRNA". It matches the Rfam family "Bacterial small subunit ribosomal RNA", at positions 8 to 837 of the family's 1533-position model. Lineage: Bacteria; Pseudomonadati; Pseudomonadota; Gammaproteobacteria; Alteromonadales; Alteromonadaceae. The record is from RNAcentral.
AGAGUUUGAUCCUGGCUCAGAUUGAACGCUGGCGGCAGGCCUAACACAUGCAAGUCGAACGGUAACAUUUCUAGCUUGCUAGAAGAUGACGAGUGGCGGACGGGUGAGUAAUGCUUGGGAACUUGCCUUUGCGAGGGGGAUAACAGUUGGAAACGACUGCUAAUACCGCAUAAUGUCUUCGGACCAAACGGGGCUCCGGCUCCGGCGCAAAGAGAGGCCCAAGUGAGAUUAGCUAGUUGGUAAGGUAAUGGCUUACCAAGGCGACGAUCUCUAGCUGUUCUGAGAGGAAGAUCAGCCACACUGGGACUGAGACACGGCCCAGACUCCUACGGGAGGCAGCAGUGGGGAAUAUUGCACAAUGGGGGAAACCCUGAUGCAGCCAUGCCGCGUGUGUGAAGAAGGCCUUCGGGUUGUAAAGCACUUUCAGUUGUGAGGAAAAGUUAGUAGUUAAUACCUGCUAGCCGUGACGUUAACAACAGAAGAAGCACCGGCUAACUCCGUGCCAGCAGCCGCGGUAAUACGGAGGGUGCGAGCGUUAAUCGGAAUUACUGGGCGUAAAGCGCACGCAGGCGGUUUGUUAAGCUAGAUGUGAAAGCCCCGGGCUCAACCUGGGAUGGUCAUUUAGAACUGGCAGACUAGAGUCUUGGAGAGGGGGGUGGAAUUCCAGGUGUAGCGGUGAAAUGCGUAGAUAUCUGGAGGAACAUCAGUGGCGAAAGGCGACUCCCUGGCCAAAGACUGACGCUCAUGUGCGAAAGUGUGGGUAGCGAACAGGAUUAGAUACCCUGGUAGUCCACACCGUAAACGCUGUCUACUAGCUGUGUGUGUCUUUAAGA